GGGGAAUUUUGGACAAUGGGGGCAACCCUGAUCCAGCAAUGCCGCGUGAGUGAAGAAGGCCUUCGGGUUGUAAAGCUUUUUUGUCAGGGAAGAAACAGCAGCUUUAACACAGUUUGCGAAUGACGGUACCUGAAGAAUAAGCACCGGCUAAUUACGUGCCAGCAGCCGCGGUAAUACGUAGGGUGCAAGCGUUAAUCGGAAUUACUGGGCGUAAAGCGUGCGCAGGCGGUUAUGUAAGACAGGCGUGAAAUCCCCGGGCUUAACCUGGGAAUUGCGCUUGUGACUGCAUAGCUAGAGUAUGUCAGAGGGGGGUAGAAUUCCACGUGUAGCAGUGAAAUGCGUAGAGAUGUGGAGGAAUACCAAUGGCGAAGGCAGCCCCCUGGGAUAAUACUGACGCUCAUGCACGAAAGCGUGGGGAGCAAACAGGAUUAGAUACCCUGGUAGUCCACGCCCUAAACGA
Molecule: ribosomal RNA, 460 nt
Filed under: uncultured Polynucleobacter sp.
Lineage: Bacteria; Pseudomonadati; Pseudomonadota; Betaproteobacteria; Burkholderiales; Burkholderiaceae
Description: bacterial SSU rRNA
Rfam family: Bacterial small subunit ribosomal RNA
Source: RNAcentral